This 253-nucleotide ribosomal RNA is filed under the name uncultured bacterium. RNAcentral's name for it is "partial 16S ribosomal RNA". It matches the Rfam family "Bacterial small subunit ribosomal RNA", at positions 524 to 776 of the family's 1533-position model. The record is from RNAcentral.
UACGUAGGGGGCAAGCGUUGUCCGGAAUUAUUGGGCGUAAAGAGCGCGUAGGCGGUCCGGUAAGUCGGUUGUGAAAGUCGGGGGCUCAACCCUCGGAUGCCGAUCGAUACUGUCGGGCUAGAGUCCGGAAGAGGCGAGUGGAACUCCUGGUGUAGCGGUGAAAUGCGCAGAUAUCAGGAGGAACACCAAUGGCGAAGGCAGCUCGCUGGGACGGUACUGACGCUGAGGCGCGAAAGCGUGGGGAGCAAACAGG